This 459-nucleotide ribosomal RNA is filed under the name Streptococcus gordonii. Its description in RNAcentral is "bacterial SSU rRNA". It matches the Rfam family "Bacterial small subunit ribosomal RNA", at positions 28 to 465 of the family's 1533-position model. The record is from RNAcentral. Lineage: Bacteria; Bacillati; Bacillota; Bacilli; Lactobacillales; Streptococcaceae.
GAUGAACGCUGGCGGCGUGCCUAAUACAUGCAAGUAGAACGCACAGUUUAUACCGUAGCUUGCUACACCAUAGACUGUGAGUUGCGAACGGGUGAGUAACGCGUAGGUAACCUGCCUGGUAGCGGGGGAUAACUAUUGGAAACGAUAGCUAAUACCGCAUAAUAUUAAUUAUUGCAUGAUAAUUAAUUGAAAGGUGCAAUUGCACCACUACCAGUUGGACCUGCGUUGUAUUAGCUAGUAGGUGAGGUAACGGCUCACCUAGGCGACGAUACAUAGCCGACCUGAGAGGGUGAUCGGCCACACUGGGACUGAGACACGGCCCAGACUCCUACGGGAGGCAGCAGUAGGGAAUCUUCGGCAAUGGACGAAAGUCUGACCGAGCAACGCCGCGUGAGUGAAGAAGGUUUUCGGAUCGUAAAGCUCUGUUGUAAGAGAAGAAACGGGUGUGAGAGUGGAAAG